Long non-coding RNA from Populus euphratica (Euphrates poplar), 170 nucleotides. RefSeq lists it as uncharacterized. Lineage: Eukaryota; Viridiplantae; Streptophyta; Magnoliopsida; Malpighiales; Salicaceae. The transcript is spliced from 2 exons. The record is from RefSeq and is a predicted model, not a curated record.
AUUUUCCAUCCACCAUUUAGAACUGGAGAAUAUACAAUAGUGAAGGUGCUAUCAAUCAAAAGCUAUGAGAUUUCAUAAGAAAUUGGAAAUUCCUGCAAAACAUUUCGUGAAUGCAAACAAAAUCCGAAGUUACUAGCCUCUUAGAAACUAAGCUUCUGAAUAUCACUAAA